GCCCGGGUGGCGGAACUGGCAGACGCACAGGACUUAAAAUCCUGUGACCCUUUGGGUCGUGCGGGUUCGAUCCCCGCCCCGGGCA
RNAcentral lists this transfer RNA (85 nucleotides) under Acidobacteriota bacterium. RNAcentral's name for it is "Acidobacteria bacterium tRNA-Leu". It matches the Rfam family "tRNA". From Rfam's summary of the family: Transfer RNA (tRNA) molecules are approximately 80 nucleotides in length. Lineage: Bacteria; Pseudomonadati; Acidobacteriota. The record is from RNAcentral.